UUUAUUUGAUAGUACCUUUACCUGGAUAACCGUGGUAAUUCUAGAGCUAAUACAUGCUAAAAACCUCGACUUCGGAAGGGGUGUAUUUAUUAGAUAAAAAACCGAUGCCCUCCGGGGCUCCUUGGUGAUUCAUAAUAACUCAACGAAUCGCAUGGCCUUGCGCCGGCGAUGGUUCAUUCAAAUUUCUGCCCUAUCAACUUUCGAUGGUAGGAUAGUGGCCUACCAUGGUCUUUACGGGUACGUUUCCUUUUUUUCCUUUUGUAAUUCAGCCUCUACGACCUCGUGCUAACGUCAAAAUGUAGGUGACGGGGAAUCAGGGUUCUAUUCCGGAGAGGGAGCCUGAGAAACGGCUACCACAUCCAAGGAAGGCAGCAGGCGCGCAAAUUACCCAAUCCCGACACGGGGAGGUAGUGACAAUAAAUACUGAUACAGGGGUCUUUUGGCUCGUGUAAUUGGAAUGAGUACAAUCUAAAUCCCUUAACGAGGAACAAUUGGAGGGCAAGUCUGGUGCCAGCAGCCGCGGUAAUUCCAGCUCCAAUAGCGUAUAUUAAAGUUGUUGCCGUUAAAAAGCUCGUAGUUGAACCUCGGGCCUGGCUGAUCUGUCCUCCUAAUCGAGCGCACGGAUUCGGUCGGGCCUUUCCUUCUGGGGAGCCCGAUGUCUU
RNAcentral lists this ribosomal RNA (662 nucleotides) under Lichenodiplis lecanorae. Its description in RNAcentral is "bacterial SSU rRNA". It matches the Rfam family "Eukaryotic small subunit ribosomal RNA", at positions 116 to 718 of the family's 1831-position model. Lineage: Eukaryota; Fungi; Ascomycota; Eurotiomycetes; Verrucariales; Verrucariaceae. The record is from RNAcentral.